RNAcentral lists this long non-coding RNA (546 nucleotides) under Gossypium barbadense (sea-island cotton). RNAcentral describes it as "long non-coding RNA (GBAR_LNC013073)". The record is from RNAcentral. Lineage: Eukaryota; Viridiplantae; Streptophyta; Magnoliopsida; Malvales; Malvaceae.
ACACUAUACGAGCAGCUUCUCCUCGAAGCUCUCCUUGAUCGAGGAGGUUUAAGGCUUCGAGAAGCAGAACGAUAAUGGUGUCUUCUAUAUCUAGAGUCAUAUGGUGAGUAUGACCUAUCACGUGAAAUUCUAUAGUACCGAUCAUCAGGUGAGUAAGAACGUUCCCGCCUUCUAUAGUGUCGAUCCUCAGGAGAGUAACGGUCCCGCCUUCUAUAGUAUCGGUCCUCAGGAGAGUAAGAACGAUCCCGUCUGCAGUGGUAACGAUCAUCAGGAGAGUAAAACCUAUCACGCCUUCUAUAGUAUCUAUCAUCGGGAGAGUAAGAACAGUCCCGUCUACGAUAAUAACGAUCAUAAGGUGAGUAGGACCGAUCACGCCUUCGAUAGUAUCGAUCUUCAGGUGAGUAGGAACAGUAACGAUAAUUCUUUCUAUAAUAGCGGUCAUCAGGUGAUCUACUAAACCGGGAAUGAGCACGUGAAUAAGACCUAUACUGAGGGGAGUAAGACCUGCUCCUACUCCUACUCCUAUCAGAUGAAUAACAAGAUGAC